UCAGCCACAUUUUCUAAACCCAGAAGGCCACACAUUGCGAGACUUCCGGGAACGUUUGCGAAGUAGACUCGGGAGACCAGACCUGGGUUUGGGGUUUGAGAACUGAAUGAGAGAAGUGGACAAUUCUUUCAUAGUUAUUCAUUUUCUAUCUAAAGAAUCUAAAGAAACAACCUAGAUAACCAAUGUGUGUCAUCUCUCAACUAGGUAAUCUGUUUCAACCUGGAACACUGUGCUCCUUGAUUUGUAAUCAGGUAUAAGCUGGGCUGGAACAAAAGUGUAUACUGUACACACUCCUGCUAUUCAUAUCUGGAGCCGUCCACCUCUUUAAGUCAUUAUUCUGUACUAUGGGUACAGCUGAACUUGUUGACUGAUACCAAGGCGGCGGAUGUUAAGAAGAAGGGAGAAGACUGCAGCCAAGGCAGCACUGGUCCACACCUGCCCUGUCUUGUCAGUAGAUGCAGACCCGAAGACAUACAAGCAGCACUUUGAGAGCAAGCAUUCCAAGUCUCCAAUGGUCCCAGUACUGGUUGAUGUGUAGGUCUAAGUGACCACACACACUGAAAUGGACCUACAGCUGGGAGACACACGAUGACCAAGAUUUGAAUGACAUUGAGGGACACUCUGAGACCCCGAGAAUGACUAGACAUGGGCCGGAUAUUUGUGACUGAUUUAAAAGGGGUGUAGAAGAACACCAGCACCCCAUUUUAUGUUUAUUCCACAGCCAACCAUUCCUCUACCUACCCCUUAUUCCACACUGACUUUUAUGCCCCAUGGUCCCUCAACUUCUAACAUUUUGGAACUCUCCAUCUUAUCUCUAUAAACCCACCUUACCGUCACCCAUUUUCCCUAUGCUGCUUCCUUAAUUAAAUUUUUUAUAUUUUUUUUAUAUCCGAAACAUACAAUAUAGUUGCAGUGAAGCCGCUCAACAACUACAUCAUACCAGUCAUCCAACAGUCUCCCAUUCAGAGCAACUCAGGGUCAAUGCCCUGAGAAGCAUCCAGGGUCAAUGCCCUGCUCAAGGGCACGUUGACAGAUUUCCCACCAAGCCAAAAAACUGAACCCGAACAAUCCAAGACCCCCCCCCACAGUUCCCCAACCAAUAACUGUCCCUCAACCAUUCGAGACCCCUCCCACAGUCCCCCCCCCCCCCCGAAUAAAAACUUAAAAAUAAAAUUAAUUCCAUUCCCCACCCCCAAGAACCCCUCAAUGCACCAACAACCAAGAGAAUGAACUAAAGAGAAAAAAGAAAAAGACAGAAGAAAACAGCAAACAACAAUGAAAAAAAGAAAAGUUAAACAAAGGACAUCAAGGACAACUAAAAUCAUAACAGCAAUGCCAACUGUAUAUGUUUGUGUGCAUGUCUGGCACUAUUACAUGUAUGUGUGUGUUCUUGUAUGCAUUUAUUUUAAUGAGAGUGUGUGUAUAUGCAUGUGUACAAACACCUGCACGGCAUCAGCCUUAGGCAAACCGGCAUUAGUUGCUUCCUUAACUUGUUCUUCUUCUGAUUUGAUAGCAUCUAGACUCAGUAACACGUUUAAAAGUUUUGUGGUGUACUGUUUUUGCUACUUUUUUUUCACCUGUGUAAAGCUGUCCUGUGUAUUCUGGGGUUCAGACUGAAUGCAGUGGUAAAUUGACAGCAGCAACAUUCAAUUGACAAGAUAGGUGUUGAUAUAGCUGUGUUUAGGCAUGGCUUCCUUGUUUUGUUUCUCAUUCUGCUGGAGUUGACCUAGUAUUUUAUAAUAACCUACCUUACACAUCCAGUUGUUUCUCCAUUUGUAACUCACCCACCAAAAAUCACAAUAUGCUGUCUUACAUGUUGUGUUAUUUGUGCUGGUCUAAUUCCUAAAAUGGAAAAUCAGAAGAAUCUGUGUCUCUCUGAUUGUAAUAAUAGUUCAUAUGGUGCUCUG
Long non-coding RNA from Salvelinus fontinalis (brook trout), 1907 nucleotides. RefSeq lists it as uncharacterized. The transcript is spliced from 4 exons. NCBI's taxonomy places the organism in Eukaryota, Metazoa, Chordata, Actinopteri, Salmoniformes, Salmonidae. The record is from RefSeq and is a predicted model, not a curated record.